CCCUUAGAUGUUCUGGGCCGCACACGCGCUACACUGAAGGAGGCAGCGUGUACUCCUGGAUCGAAAGAUUUGGGUAACCCGCGAAUCUCCUUCGUGCUAGGGAUUGAGGUUUGCAAUUAUCCUUCAUGAACGAGGAAUUCCCAGUAAGUGCAAGUCAUAAGCUUGCGCUGACUACGUCCCUGCCCUUUGUACACACCGCCCGUCGCUACUACCGAUUGAAUGAUUUAGUGAGGACUUCGGACUGGGACCGAUGCGGCUUUCGGGCUGCGUCGGUAUUCUGGAAAGAUGUCCAAACUGUNCNAUUUAGNGGAAGUAAAANUCGUANCA
This 327-nucleotide ribosomal RNA is filed under the name uncultured eukaryote. RNAcentral's name for it is "partial 18S ribosomal RNA". It matches the Rfam family "Eukaryotic small subunit ribosomal RNA", at positions 1470 to 1796 of the family's 1831-position model. The record is from RNAcentral.